RNAcentral lists this ribosomal RNA (511 nucleotides) under uncultured bacterium. RNAcentral describes it as "partial 16S ribosomal RNA". It matches the Rfam family "Bacterial small subunit ribosomal RNA", at positions 30 to 523 of the family's 1533-position model. The record is from RNAcentral.
AUUGAACGCUGGCGGCAUGCCUAACACAUGCAAGUCGAACGGCAGCACAAUAAAGAUUUCGGUCUUUAUGGGUGGCGAGUGGCGGACGGGUGAGUAACGCGUAGGAAUCUGUCCUGGAGAGUGGGAUAACCCGAGGAAACUCGGGCUAAUACUGCAUGACAUUGAGAGAUCAAAAGCAGGGGACCGAACGGCCUUGCGCUCUGGGGUGGACCUACGUCGGAUUAGCUAGUUGGUGGGGUAAAGGCCUACCAAGGCGACGAUCCGUAGCUGGUCUGAGAGGAUGACCAGCCACACUGGGACUGAGACACGGCCCAGACUCCUACGGGAGGCAGCAGUGGGGAAUCUUGGACAAUGGGGGAAACCCUGAUCCAGCGAUGCCGCGUGUGUGAAGAAGGCCUUCGGGUUGUAAAGCACUUUAGGUGGGGAAGAAAGGUAGCGAGUGAAUAACUUUCUGCUGUGACGGUACCCACAGAAUAAGCACCGGCUAACUCUGUGCCAGCCGCCGCCGUAA